GACGAACGCUGGCGGCGUGCUUAACACAUGCAAGUCGAACGGAAAGGCCCUGCUUUUGUGGGGUGCUCGAGUGGCGAACGGGUGAGUAACACGUGAGUAACCUGCCCUUGACUUUGGGAUAACUUCAGGAAACUGGGGCUAAUACCGGAUAGGAGCUCCUGCUGCAUGGUGGGGGUUGGAAAGUUUCGGCGGUUGGGGAUGGACUCGCGGCUUAUCAGCUUGUUGGUGGGGUAGUGGCUUACCAAGGCUUUGACGGGUAGCCGGCCUGAGAGGGUGACCGGCCACAUUGGGACUGAGAUACGGCCCAGACUCCUACGGGAGGCAGCAGUGGGAAUAUUGCACAAUGGGCGGAAGCCUGAUGCAGCAACGCCGCGUGCGGGAUGACGGCCUUCGGGUUGUAAACCGCUUUCGCCUGUGACGAAGCGUGAGUGACGGUAAUGGGUAAAGAAGCACCGGCUAACUACGUG
This 467-nucleotide ribosomal RNA is filed under the name uncultured bacterium. RNAcentral describes it as "partial 16S ribosomal RNA". It matches the Rfam family "Bacterial small subunit ribosomal RNA", at positions 28 to 507 of the family's 1533-position model. The record is from RNAcentral.